RNAcentral lists this long non-coding RNA (497 nucleotides) under Pan troglodytes (chimpanzee). Its description in RNAcentral is "long non-coding RNA NONPTRT014720". The record is from RNAcentral. Lineage: Eukaryota; Metazoa; Chordata; Mammalia; Primates; Hominidae.
GCCCCGCAUGCACUAGCUAUUUGUCCUGAUCUCCUUCCCCUCACCCCCCACAGGCCCUGGUGUGUGUUGUUCCCCUCCCUGUGUCCAUGUGUUCUCAUUGUUCAACUCCUACUUAUAAAUGAGAAUAUGCGGUGUUUGGUUUUCUGUUCCUGUGUUAGUUUGCUGAGGAUGAUGGCUUCCAGCUUCAUCCAUGUCCCUGAAAACGAACAAUGUAAAAGCAUUCCUAUUUCUCCACAGCCUCACCAGCAUCUCUUGUUUCUUGACUUUUUAAUAAUCACCAUUCUGACAGGUGUGAGAUAGUUUCUUAUUGUGGUUUUGAUUUGCAUUUCUCUAACAAUCAGUGAUGUUGAGCUUUUUUCAUAUGUUUGUUGGCCACAUAAAUGUCUUCCUUUGAUAUCAUACUUGGAAGUGUUUCAUACUCUCUAGUUCAUAAAUAACUUGUAGUUUCUGCUAUAUAUUACACUGCUUUAUUACAAAUUAACAAAUGAGAAACAAUU